CACAUUUUCUUCCAAGACAUCAAAAACGAAUCAGUCGCAGAGGUGCAGAGCGAUAGAGGGCGUCGGCGAAAGAUGGCCAGCAACUCUGUCGUCUUCGUGUCGAUCGCCUGCGCGAUCUGGUACGUGCUGCUUCGCCAGCGCCUUGUUCCUGUCAAGCUCAUGCGGGCGUGGUUUCUGAUGGUCAACAUCCUGACGAUUCUGCCGGUGUCGGCGCUGACGAAGCUCGUUGUGCAGCUUGGCCGCCUCGGUGUGCCGACGUACUACGUGCAGCGACUGUGCAUUAUACCGCUGGUCGUGGCCUUCCGCAUGGUGUGGUGGCUUAACCCGCAGAUCCGCAUGCAACUCUGCUUUGACCCCGAUGGGAAUGGCCAGCGGCUGUCGUGGGAGGACAUCAGCCAGCAUCACGGCGCGUACGUCGGCAACCACGCCUCCUUCUGGGACGUCUACGCCUUCAUUGGACUGACACCGUUUAGGCAGCUCCUCAACACACGCACGAUGAUGAAGUCGUCGCUGCGCAAGAUCCCGAUCUUCGGCGGCGUCUUCGACCGCGUCGGGCACUUCCCCGUGUACUUCAAGUCGGGCGAGGACGGUAACUUCGAGGUGGAUAAGGAGAAGCAGGCGCAGGUGCAGAAGGGCGCCGACGCCCACAUCGCCAGCGGCGGCAACCUCGCUAUCUUCCCUGAGGGCGCCAUCAAUAAGAAUCCGCGGGUUCUGCAGCCGUUCCGCUACGGCACCUUCCACACCAUUUUCAAGCAUCGCAUGGAAACCUACUACAUGGUGCAUGCAGGUGCCGAGAAGACAUGGCCGUGGUGGACGAUGAUUGGCGGCAUGCCGACGGACAUGCACGUACGCGUUGGCCGCUUCCCUAUCGACUACGAUCACGAGGACAGCAAGGACGUCUCAAGGCGAAUGCAGCAGCACAUGCAGAAAGUGUACAAUGAGAUUCUGGCGGAAACGGAAGGCAAGGACGCCAUCAGCGCCGAGGCGAAGGCGUCCUGAGCAGUAACCCGAACGGUGGGGAAGCAGAGCUGAUGGGAAGUGACGUAGGGCACGGUUCGCGUCCUGCAGGCACUGUAUUGUGAGUGGCGGAGGACGGGGCAGCAAGGGACGGCGUGCGAGACAAGCCAAACCGAUCCUUGGAGCAGGAGAGAGGGAUGCGCAGGCGCCUGUGGGCAAAGGGCGAGUGAAAGAUGCAGAUAAGGUGUGAAGCCGGACGCGCGAUCGACGACGUGCGCCGUCCCCUCCUCCCUACCAUUCGUCCCCCUCAGCCAUCCCCCCCCCCCAGACGCUGGUGCAGCUGGAUGUAAUGCAUUCUUUGCAUUUUCAUGUGCGCACUCUCUCUCCUGUGGCACGUGCUGUCCUGUGCAGGCACAUGCCCUACGGCCCUCUGCUUCUCCCUUCCCUUCAUGUUCGCUCAGGCACGUCGGGUUGGUUUGAAGUCUAUCGCAUCGUCGGCCUUACCUAUCUGUAUGUGCAUACGAGGGAAGGGAGGGAAAGGACGUGGCGCGAUGAGAGAAACGAUGCGUGCAGAUGCCAACGCACGAGAGCGACUCUCUUUCAUUUUCUGCGCUGGCUGUGCAUCUCUGUGGAUUCUAUCAAGCUGCGAGAGGCGCGCGCGUUCGUGUUCGGUGCUCUUCUCGCUUUUAUUUCUCAUCUUGCUGCCCUUCUUUGGGGGGGGAGCUUGCUGAGGAAAGCACACGCGCACGCCGCUGAAAGGGCAGCGACGCCGCUGAAAGGGCAGCGACGCCGCCUCCCACUUGUUGCUUGUUGCCAUUCAUCGUUUCUCUCACCUCUUCCCCGUUCUGAGUAGAGCACUCCUGCUUCAGG
RNAcentral lists this unclassified non-coding RNA (1827 nucleotides) under Leishmania donovani. RNAcentral's name for it is "gene:LdHU3.04.1280(CDS-product:acyltransferase-li ke_protein_copy_1)". The record is from RNAcentral. Lineage: Eukaryota; Euglenozoa; Kinetoplastea; Trypanosomatida; Trypanosomatidae.